CAGUAGCCGCGGGAAUACAGAGGGUGCGAGCGUUAAUCGGAUUUACUGGGCGUAAAGCGUGCGUAGGCGGCUUCUUAAGUCGGAUGUGAAAUCCCUGAGCUUAACUUAGGAAUUGCAUUCGAUACUGGGAAGCUAGAGUAUGGGAGAGGAUGGUAGAAUUUUAGGUGUAGCGGUGAAAUGCGUAGAGAUCUGGAGGAAUACCGAUGGCGAAGGCAGCCAUCUGGCCUAAUACUGACGCUGAGGUACGAAAGCAUGGGGAGCAAACAGGAUUAGAUACCCGCGUAGUCCCUGUCUCUUAUAC
Molecule: ribosomal RNA, 301 nt
Filed under: uncultured bacterium
Lineage: Bacteria
Description: partial 16S ribosomal RNA
Rfam family: Bacterial small subunit ribosomal RNA
Source: RNAcentral